GAUGAACGCUAGCGGGAGGCUUAACACAUGCAAGUCGAGGGGCAGCAUAGGGUAGCAAUACACGGGUGGCGACCGGCGCACGGGUGAGUAACGCGUAUGCAACCUGCCUACUACAAGGGGAUAACCCGUUGAAAGACGGACUAAUACCCUAUAACACAGGGAAUCCGCAUGGAUAUAUUUGUUAAAGAUUUAUCGGUAGUAGAUGGGCAUGCGUUCCAUUAGCUUGUUGGUGAGGUAACGGCUCACCAAGGCAACGAUGGAUAGGGGAACUGAGAGGUUGAUCCCCCACACUGGAACUGAGACACGGUCCAGACUCCUACGGGAGGCAGCAGUGAGGAAUAUUGGUCAAUGGACGAGAGUCUGAACCAGCCAAGUCGCGUGAAGGAAGACGGCCCUACGGGUUGUAAACUUCUUUUGUAAGGGAAUAAAUAGUCUUACGCGCUAAGACGUUGCAGGUACCUUACGAAUAAGGAUCGGCUAACUCCGUG
RNAcentral lists this ribosomal RNA (488 nucleotides) under uncultured bacterium. RNAcentral's name for it is "bacterial SSU rRNA". It matches the Rfam family "Bacterial small subunit ribosomal RNA", at positions 28 to 507 of the family's 1533-position model. The record is from RNAcentral.